Molecule: ribosomal RNA, 1526 nt
Filed under: uncultured prokaryote
Description: partial 16S ribosomal RNA
Rfam family: Bacterial small subunit ribosomal RNA
Source: RNAcentral
AGAGUUUGAUCCUGGCUCAGAACGAACGCUGGCGGCGUGCUUAACACAUGCAAGUCGAACGAGAAAGUUUCUUCGGAAACGAGUAAGUGGCGCACGGGUGAGUGGUGAGUAACGCGUAGAUAACCUGUCCAAGCGACUGGGAUAGCCCUUCGAAAGGGGGAUUAAUACCGGAUACGUUGAUUGUUUUUAAGGACAAUCAAGAAAGGUGGCCUCUAUUUAUAAGCUAUCACGCAUGGAGGGGUCUGCGUACCAUUAGUUUGUUGGUGGGGUAAUGGCCUACCAAGACUACGAUGGUUAACGGGUCUGAGAGGAUGAUCCGUCACACUGGCACUGAAACACGGGCCAGACUCCUACGGGAGGCAGCAGUGAGGAAUAUUGCGCAAUGGGGGCAACCCUGACGCAGCGACGCCGCGUGGGUGAGGAAGGCUUUCGGGUCGUAAAGCUCUGUCAGAAGGGAGAAAUGCUUAUAGGUUAAUACCUUGUAAGUUUGACGGUACCUUCAAAGGAAGCACCGGCUAACUCCGUGCCAGCAGCCGCGGUAAUACGGAGGGUGCAAGCGUUGUUCGGAAUCACUGGGCGUAAAGAGCGUGUAGGCGGCUCGUUAAGUCUGAUGUGAAAGCCCCGGGCUCAACCCGGGAAGUGCAUUGGAAACUGGCGAACUUGAGUACGGGAGAGGGAAGUGGAAUUCCGAGUGUAGGAGUGAAAUCCGUAGAUAUUCGGAGGAACACCAGUGGCGAAGGCGGCUUCCUGGACCGAUACUGACGCUGAGACGCGAAAGCGUGGGGAGCAAACAGGAUUAGAUACCCUGGUAGUCCACGCCGUAAACGAUGGGUACUAGGUGUCGCGGGUAUUGACCCCUAGUAUGCCGAAGCUACCGCAUUAAGUUCUCCGCCUGGGGAGUACGGCCGCAAGGUUAAAACUCAAAUGAAUUGAGGGGGGCCCGCACAAGCGGUGGAGCAUGUGGUUUAAUUCGAUGCAACGCGAAAAACCUUACCUACUCUUGACAUUCCCUAGAAGCUCUUGGAAACAAGAGUGUGCCUCUUUGAGGAACUUGGUGACAGGUGCUGCACGGCUGUCGUCAGCUCGUGUCGUGAGAUGGUGGGUUAAGUCCCGCAACGAGCGCAACCCUUAUCUUUAGGUUCCAUCAUUAAGUUGGUCACUCUAAAGAUACUGCCGGUGUCAAACCGGAGGAAGGUGGGGAUGACGUCAAGUCCUCAUGGCCUUUAUGACCAGGGCUACACACGUACUACAAUGGCAUAGACAAAGGGCAGCCACUUGGUGACAAGGAGCAAAUCCCAUAAACUAUGUCUCAGUCCGGAUUGGAGUCUGCAACUCGACUCCAUGAAGUUGGAAUCGCUAGUAAUCGUGGAUCAGCAUGCCACGGUGAAUACGUUCCCGGGCCUUGUACACACCGCCCGUCACACCACGGGAGUUGGUUGUACCAGAAGCAGUUGAGCUAACUAUUUAUAGAGGGCAGGUACCUAAGGUACGGUUGAUGAUUGGGGUGAAGUCGUAACAAGGUAGGC